RNAcentral lists this ribosomal RNA (274 nucleotides) under uncultured bacterium. RNAcentral's name for it is "partial 16S ribosomal RNA". It matches the Rfam family "Bacterial small subunit ribosomal RNA", at positions 523 to 796 of the family's 1533-position model. The record is from RNAcentral.
AUACGUAUGGGGCAAGCGUUGUUCGGAUUCAUUGGGCGUAAAGGGCACGCAGGCGGAUUGUUAAGUUGGAUGUAUAAUCUUCGGGCUCAACCCGGAGUCUGCAUCCAAAACUGGCAAUCUAGAGUACCAGAGGGGAAAGCGGAAUUCUCGGUGUAGCGGUGGAAUGCGUAGAUAUCGAGAGGAACACCAGUGGCGAAGGCGGCUUUCUGGCUGGUUACUGACGCUCAGGUGCGAAAGCGUGGGGAGCAAACAGGAUUAGAAACCCUAGUAGUCC